Molecule: long non-coding RNA, 654 nt
Organism: Dreissena polymorpha
Lineage: Eukaryota; Metazoa; Mollusca; Bivalvia; Myida; Dreissenidae
Exons: 6
Source: RefSeq, a predicted model, not a curated record
AUUGAUGGCUGUAAAACAGUGACCGCUGAUUCGCAUCGAGUUCUUUCUUGCAAAACGCAUGACCCCCCUUUUUUAUUGUCUAAAUCAUUGCGACUUGGAAUGCUCUUUAAGAAAAGGUAGAGGAAUGUCUGCAACUAAGCCGAGGGCCACUGGAUAAGGGUUGUUGAUGGUAAAACAGGUAGAGGAAUGUCUGCAACUAAGCCGAGGGCCACUGGAUAAGGGUUGUUGAUGGUAAAACAGGUAGAGGAAUGUCUGCAACUAAGCCGAGGGCCACUGGAUAAGGGUUGUUGAUGGUAAAACAGGUAGAGGAAUGUCUGCAACUAAGCCGAGGGCCACUGGAUAAGGGUUGUUGAUGGUAAAACAGGUUAAAGACUACAUGAGACUUUGACAGAUGGCGGGAAACCCACAUCCACUGGUACGAACCCGGUAAAUUGAUGGCUGUAAAACAGUGACCGCUGAUUCGCAUCGAGUUCUUUCUUGCAAAACGCAUGACCCCCCUUUUUUAUUGUCUAAAUCAUUGCGACUUGGAAUGCUCUUUAAGAAAAGGUAUGGUUAUGGGGGUCUCUAUGCGCAAAAGUUUGACUUUAUUUUUUGUUGAAGUUAUUGCUUUUACAUUGAAUUUGUGUAGGAAAUCUUUUGGUAUAUUGUAACCUA